This is a non-coding RNA of Xenopus laevis (African clawed frog), 117 nucleotides long. The record is from Rfam. NCBI's taxonomy places the organism in Eukaryota, Metazoa, Chordata, Amphibia, Anura, Pipidae.
ACCCUCCUUGUCUUGGGGUGAGCUGCUGUUUAAUGAGUGAAUAGUGAGAAUUGCACUGCUGACAACACAUUGUUACCACUAUUGUAUCUGCAAUAGAAAGGUGCAAUUUUUGGACUA